UAGCCUACGGGAGGCAGCAGUGGGGAAUAUUGCACAAUGGGGGAAACCCUGAUGCAGCGACGCCGCGUGAGUGAAGAAGUAUUUCGGUAUGUAAAGCUCUCUCAGCAGGGAAGAUAAUGACGGUACCUGACUAAGAAGCCCCGGCUAACUACGUGCCAGCAGCCGCGGUAAUACGUAGGGGGCAAGCGUUAUCCGGAUUUACUGGGCGUAAAGGGAGCGUAGGUGGCAGGGCAAGUCAGAUGUGAAAACCCGGGGCUCAACUCCGGGAGUGCAUGGGAAACUGUUUAUCUAGAGGGUCGGAGAGG
Molecule: ribosomal RNA, 305 nt
Filed under: uncultured bacterium
Lineage: Bacteria
Description: bacterial SSU rRNA
Rfam family: Bacterial small subunit ribosomal RNA
Source: RNAcentral